This 75-nucleotide transfer RNA is filed under the name bacterium. RNAcentral's name for it is "tRNA-Val". It matches the Rfam family "tRNA". Rfam says of the family: Transfer RNA (tRNA) molecules are approximately 80 nucleotides in length. Their secondary structure includes four short double-helical elements and three loops (D, anti-codon, and T loops). The record is from RNAcentral.
GCGCGCUUAGCUCAGCGGUAGAGCGACUCGUUUACACCGAGUAGGUCGGGGGUUCGACACCCUCAGCGCGCACCA